AUUGAACGCUGGCGGCAGGCCUAACACAUGCAAGUCGAGCGAGCGGCGGACGGGUGAGUAAUGUCUGGGAAACUGCCUGAUGUAGGGGGAUAACUACUGGAAACGGUAGCUAAUACCGCAUACCAUCAGAUGUGCCCAGAUGGGAUUAGCUAGUAGGUGGGGUAACGGCUCACCUAGGCGACGAUCCCUAGCUGGUCUGAGAGGAUGACCAGCCAAACUGGAACUGAGACACGGUCCAGAGGCGUACGGGAGGCAGCAGUGGGGAAUAUUGGACAAUGGGCGCAAGCCUAAUGCAGCCAUGCCGCGUGUAUGAAGAAGGCCUUCGGGUUGUAAAGUACUUUCAGCGGGGAGGAGUUACCCGCAGAAGAAGCACCGGCUAAAUCCGUGCCAGCAGCCGCGGUAAUUC
This 406-nucleotide ribosomal RNA is filed under the name uncultured bacterium. RNAcentral describes it as "partial 16S ribosomal RNA". It matches the Rfam family "Bacterial small subunit ribosomal RNA", at positions 30 to 526 of the family's 1533-position model. The record is from RNAcentral.